AAAGGAAUGAAAAGAAGAGACUUGUUUGUAAUCAAGAAAAGGAAUGGAAAAUAGAGACUGUGAAAAUUCAGAGGCGACUUCAGGAUGCAGUAGGAGGCUGCAAGGGACAGCUCAGGGCUCUCCUCCCCUCUACGCUCCCCUGGGACUCUUCAGGGGGUGGCUGCAGACCAAAUACUUCUGCUGGGAGCACCAGUCACUGCUGACCCCAGCCAGGUCGAUGUAGGCACAUUGGCCGUUGCCCUGGAUAUCGAACCUGCACAGAGUAGCAGAAGGAGAAGUCAAGGGGCUGAGCAUCUCCCACAUAAGCAAACGGUGCUGGAAGGAGGAGGAAGAAUCCUUUCCAGCAGACAAUGACCCCCAUGCAAAGCUAAAUCUGCCCCCUUCCAUGAAGGAAGGAAUAUUUUUGGUUGAUUAAUCCCAUAUGGGUUCAUCCAGGGAUGCCCUCUGCAUCCACAAGCUGCUUCCUAAGGACCAAGCAUUACAAGAAGGGGUGGUUAAUUGCUCCCAGCCCAUUAAAAAAUGCGAGGAAAAGAAGCCAUGACGUACCGGUUGUUGAAAAGAGACCCAUUGCACCAUCUCCAGGGGUCGGAUCCCUCCUGAUGCAGACCGACCCAGUAAUGCAAGGCACGCCCGUAGCGCAAUAGGAAGCCCUGGAAAGCAAAGAAGAAAUGUUGUGCCCAUCUUCACCUUACAUCCUCCAAGGAACCCCACAGCUGCUUCCCAAAAAGCCACCCCAGCACCCGGCAAACCCCUCAUUUUACCAAGUCCUCCUCGCUGUCGAUGGUGGCCAGCUGGGCUCCUAGGGAGAGGCAGACGUUCUGGCUCUCGUUCCAGUUGGUCUCGUUCUCCACAAAGUGGAAGCAUUUCUCCCUGAACCCGAUGCCGUUUCCUGAGCAGGUGGGAAGGAUGGGAGAGGGGCAGGACGGACAUUUCCUGGCUGGAAAUAAGGAGAAUGAAAUCUGCUUAUUUUAAUCGGUGGUGAUGAUUUGUGAGAUCUAAUCCCGUAAAAAACAUGUUCAUUUCCACUUCUCAUUUCAUUUUUGUUGUUUUCACCUUUCUGUUCAUGUUCAAAAUAUUCAUUUUCAGCUCCAGAAGCCACUUAGGGCUGAAAUAAACACUCCCCAUAAAGGUCUUUCUGCAA
Molecule: non-coding RNA, 1141 nt
Organism: Anas platyrhynchos (mallard)
Lineage: Eukaryota; Metazoa; Chordata; Aves; Anseriformes; Anatidae
Source: RefSeq, a predicted model, not a curated record